This is a long non-coding RNA of Culex pipiens pallens (northern house mosquito), 333 nucleotides long. RefSeq lists it as uncharacterized. The transcript is spliced from 2 exons. Lineage: Eukaryota; Metazoa; Arthropoda; Insecta; Diptera; Culicidae. The record is from RefSeq and is a predicted model, not a curated record.
GCUAGAAACUGUCAUCGGCCUUAGGAGAUCGUUCGUGAUGGUGUGAUUUUGUCGAUUUUGUAGAUAAUUAUGACGAUAAAAUGGAUUUAAAUUAGGUUUUCCUGCAUUAUUUGACCAAAACAGGAUAGAAAAAUCUCUAUGAACAGGUUAUGGCCGGACGAUGACCCUUCCCAGCCCUAGAAGUUCCAGUUUUCCGGAAAGGCGGCGAAAGACGAACAACCAUCCCAGGAAUCAGGAGGACUGUUGGAGCAAAGCAAGCAGAGCCGAAUCCCAAUAGUGAUAGCGCCGGAUCACAACUGCUCUUGCGGGAACUCGUUUAUUCUGGAUGGGCAU